GUGCCGCCGGGGCACGGCUCGGCGGCGGGGAGCGGGCAGCGGGGCGCCCGGGCACAGGGCAGCUCGCAGCCCCGUGAGGAAGCGGGAUGGCUGCGCGAGAGCAGGGAAAUUAAUUGCAUUUGAAUGUAUUUAGACAUAUCCAGAAUUAUAUACAUCUCUCAUAUAUAUAAUGCAUGUAUAGCUCCGAGGGCGAGAGGGGUAGGGAGGCGACGCUCCAAGCGCAGGGAGCAGAGGAGGGGGAGAGUGGAGGCGGUUCGGCGGCUCCUCGAUGGCCCGCUCAGGCUCCUCCGCGGGGCUGCAGCCCCUGCCCUGCAUUGCGCGGCCUCCCGCAGCCCCCGGGCGCGGCCCGGCACUACGCGGCGCGGCGGGACGCCCCCGAGAGCACAGUACACCACAACCCACCUAAUGCUAAGGAGCAGCAAAUACAGAUAAGCUUUACAAUGGCUGAGGAGGCAGAAGAGUGAGGGAACACAGUCGAGAUGAAGCAGAGUGAAUGGGAAGGAAGCUGAAAUAGAAAUGAUAUGAACGAGAAUCCCUGGUGAUCCACAUGCGUCAGCAUCUUCCUAUUCAGUGGUAUUUACAAGAACAGCUUUUGAACAAAGAAAAGCGCGGCUAAAUAAAACAAGAUACACUUUUUAAAAAUAAAUCAAUUGUUAACUACACUUACAGUCCCUGUCUUAAAUAUGCAAUUUCAUACUGAUCAAUGCAGAAUGAUAUAUACUAUACACUGUAUUUCACAUAAUAAAAACACUUAAUCCAGAUAA
Long non-coding RNA from Columba livia (rock pigeon), 764 nucleotides. RefSeq lists it as uncharacterized. NCBI's taxonomy places the organism in Eukaryota, Metazoa, Chordata, Aves, Columbiformes, Columbidae. The transcript has 2 exons. The record is from RefSeq and is a predicted model, not a curated record.